This 492-nucleotide ribosomal RNA is filed under the name uncultured bacterium. RNAcentral describes it as "partial 16S ribosomal RNA". It matches the Rfam family "Bacterial small subunit ribosomal RNA", at positions 29 to 507 of the family's 1533-position model. The record is from RNAcentral.
AGUGAACGCUGGCGGUAGGCCUAACACAUGCAAGUCGAACGGCAGCACAGUAAGAGCUUGCUCUUACGGGUGGUGAGUGGCGGACGAGUGAGGAAUACAUCGGAAUCUACUUUUUCGUGGGGGAUAACGUAGGGAAACUUACGCUAAUACCGCAUACGACCUACGGGUGAAAGCAGGGGAUCUUCGGACCUUGCGCGAUUGAAUGAGCCGAUGUCGGAUUAGCUAGUUGGCGGGGUAAAGGCCCACCAAGGCGACGAUCCGUAGCUGGUCUGAGAGGAUGAUCAGCCACACUGGAACUGAGACACGGUCCAGACUCCUACGGGAGGCAGCAGUGGGGAAUAUUGGACAAUGGGCGCAAGCCUGAUCCAGCCAUACCGCGUGGGUGAAGAAGGCCUUCGGGUUGUAAAGCCCUUUUGUUGGGAAAGAAAGGCAGCAGGUUAAUACCCCGCUGUUCUGACGGUACCCAAAGAAUAAGCACCGGCUAACUUCGUG